This 1305-nucleotide ribosomal RNA is filed under the name Cryphonectria decipiens. RNAcentral describes it as "eukaryotic LSU rRNA". It matches the Rfam family "Eukaryotic large subunit ribosomal RNA", at positions 78 to 1412 of the family's 3401-position model. Lineage: Eukaryota; Fungi; Ascomycota; Sordariomycetes; Diaporthales; Cryphonectriaceae. The record is from RNAcentral.
CCCUAGUAACGGCGAGUGAAGCGGCAACAGCUCAAAUUUGAAAUCUGGCUUCGGCCCGAGUUGUAAUUUGCAGAGGAUGUUUCUGGCGCGGUGCCUUCCGAGUUCCCUGGAACGGGACGCCACAGAGGGUGAGAGCCCCGUAUGGUUGGACACCAAGCCUGUGUGAAACUCCUUCGACGAGUCGAGUAGUUUGGGAAUGCUGCUCAAAAUGGGAGGUAAAUCUCUUCUAAAGCUAAAUACCGGCCAGAGACCGAUAGCGCACAAGUAGAGUGAUCGAAAGAUGAAAAGCACCUUGAAAAGGGGGUUAAACAGUACGUGAAAUUGUUGAAAGGGAAGCGCUUGUGACCAGACUUGUGCCGGGCGGCUCAUCCGGGGUUCUCCCCGGUGCACUCCGCCCGGCUCAGGCCAGCAUCGGUUUUCGUUGGGGGAUAAGAACGGCAGGAACGUGGCCCUCCUUCGGGUGGGUGUUAUAGCCUGCCGUACGAUACCCUGACGGGGACCGAGGUUCGCGCUCCGCAAGGAUGCUGGCGUAAUGGUCAUCAGCGACCCGUCUUGAAACACGGACCAAGGAGUCGUCCAUUAGAGCGAGCGUUUGGGUGUCAAACCCGCACGCGUAAUGAAAGUGAAAUUAGGUGAGAGCUUCGGCGCAUCAUCGACCGAUCCUGAUGUUCUCGGAUGGAUUUGAGUAAGAGUUUUAACGGACGGACCCGAAAGACAGUGAACUAUGCUUGUAUAGGGUGAAGCCAGAGGAAACUCUGGUGGAGGCUCGCAGCGGUUCUGACGUGCAAAUCGAUCGUCAAAUAUGAGCAUGGGGGCGAAAGACUAAUCGAACUGUCUAGUAGCUGGUUACCGCCGAAGUUUCCCUCAGGAUAGCAGUGUUGACCUUCAGUUUUAUGAGGUAAAGCGAAUGAUUAGGGACUCGGGGGCGCUUUUUAGCCUUCAUCCAUUCUCAAACUUUAAAUAUGUAAGAAGCCCUUGUUACUUAGUUGAACGUGGGCAUUCGAAUGUAUCAACACUAGUGGGCCAUUUUUGGUAAGCAGAACUGGCGAUGCGGGAUGAACCGAACGCGGGGUUAAGGCGCCAGAGUGUACGCUCAUCAGACACCACAAAAGGCGUUAGUACAUCUUGACAGCAGGACGGUGGCCAUGGAAGUCGGAAUCCGCUAAGGACUGUGUAACAACUCACCUGCCGAAUGUACUAGCCCUGAAAAUGGAUGGCGCUCAAGCGUACCGCCCAUACCCCGCCCUCAGGGUAGAAACGAUGCCCUGAGGAGUAGGCGGCCGUGGAGGUCAGUGACGAAGCCUA